This 72-nucleotide transfer RNA is filed under the name Camelus bactrianus (Bactrian camel). It matches the Rfam family "tRNA". From Rfam's summary of the family: Transfer RNA (tRNA) molecules are approximately 80 nucleotides in length. Lineage: Eukaryota; Metazoa; Chordata; Mammalia; Artiodactyla; Camelidae. The record is from Rfam by way of RNAcentral. RNAcentral also lists the same sequence under 2 other names.
GAGGGUAUAGCUCAGUGGUAGAGUGCAUGCUUAGCAUGCACGAGGCCCUGGGUUCAAUCCCCAGUACCUCUA